UACAGUGCAUGCAUGGUAGCUGUAUAGCUGCAGUGAUAUCCAUCUGGAUGGACUCUUAAUUGGGCACACUGUUACCUUGUCUGAUCAUGCUAAGAGAAUGCAUAUUAUAUAUUAAAGGUGGACGUGGACCCUUUUUGUUCCAGUUUCUGGUCAAUAAUAUAAUUAUCGUAUAAUGAUUUUUUUAAUAUUGUAAAAUAAACUGUUGCCUGUUGCCUUGUUUUCUAUGGACAUGGUGAAGCAACAUAAUCAUUAUAAUUGUAUGCUUUAAAAGUUGCUGCAUCGAAAGAAUAGGUGCUCUGUAUACCACUGCUAGAUCUACUUGUAUAGAGAUCUAUAGACGUACUUGAAUCUGCUUUAUAUAGCUGUCACUACAUGCACUCUCAACACCAUUUUUUUUAUAUACCAUAUAGCGGGUAAUUUUUGUGGGGUAAAAAAUUCGUUAUUUUUGUGGUCAAGCUGACCUCCACGAAAUUUUAACGUAGGCGUGGCUUACCGAAUUCAGUGCAGACAACGAGACUAAACGAAAUUUAUACUCACAAAAAUCACCGUUUUCGAAUUUUUUACCCCACAAAAAUUACCCGCUAUACGGUAUGUAAAUUAAUAUUGCUGACACAAACAUGUAAUUCAUCCACCAUGCAGUUUCUCUGCAUGUUCUUAUUGUGGACAAUGAGAACAUAUCAAUGUAUUUAGUUUGACUAUAGUCAUAGCAUUUUUAGCGUUGAUAUGAGAUAUGCUACUGUUCAGUGUUAUACUGCAUGCAUGCAUGGAGGGCAAUUGGUAUAUAUGCUCAUUUAAUACGCCAUUAACAUGAGCCUGUACAUAUGCAUGCAAUGCUUCACUUGCACUAGGAUAAUGAUAUUAUUGCCUACAAGCCAUGCAGACAGCUACAUAUAGGUACGUAGAAAAGGAUAUAAUUUUUAUCUAUCAUAAUGGACACAACUUCACAAGUUAUCAUGCUGAUAGUACUAAUGUCUCUGACCUGUGAAUCUGCAUGCUUGAGGGCAGAUUCACAGGUCAGAGACACUAGAAAAUUAGUUCAUACUGCAUUCCAGUGACCUUUGCAUAAUUGAGAAUAAUAGUGCAUGCACUAAAUUAACAUAAUUUGACCCUCAGAGUCUGGUAGACUUAAUUUUCACAUCUUAUAAUUAAUUUUAGCUAGAUACAUGCACAAUAGAUCUGUACUGUAAACACUAGCCACUAGGCAGGCAUGGAAGAGUGUUUUCUUUUUCCGCACUAUCUAGAGGGAUUAUAUUUCACUUUCUGUAAUGCUACCUCGCCGAUUUGAAAAUACUAGCUAUAGAGACAACGAGGCUACCUCAGGUAGUGCUAUAAAUUGUCUUUUCAUUGAUGUCUUUAAACUGGAAUAAUGGGUACACCAAACUGGAAUAAUUAAUAGGCUGACUUUUUGAGAAUAGAAAAAAGCAUAAUUUGCCAAGGCCUAUUGUGGCCACCCAGUGUGUUAUCAGAACGCUCUAAGAGUUUUAUUGAGAGCAGUCCUAGCAUAACUGAGAGGAGGUGGGCAUAGUGGUCCUGCGAUUGAAGCUGGAGCUGGAAUACCCGGUUUGACCUCUCUUGAACCACAUCAAAUGAUAGCAGAUGAGAUGAAACUAACGACAAGCUUAGGAUUGGCUAUUGAGUAUUGUGGUACCAACCUCGUGAUAAAAUAAUUAUCUUUAACAUCAUAUACAUUCAAGCUCCAGAUCUUGUGGAGCUAAAACACCAUCCCAUAAUAGUGUCGAUAAAUGGAUUUGGACCAGGUAAUCUUCUACACACUCUUUGUUGUGGCCCCAUCAAUACAGGCUAUUUAUACAAAAACAAUACUAGAGAGAACCUUCUAGAACACUAGUACAGAAAUGACUAAAUAAGAACAUAAACUAGAAAGGAACUACUAGAACUAAUAAACACGAACAGGUACAGUACAGUAUUUACGGAAUCACAGUCAGACUCUUUAUCUUAACGUUAGUUCCAUAGAACCAGCCAAAUGUGGUAAGGAUACCACAAAUAUCAUGGAAGAUAUUAUGGCACCACUAUUCCCACAAAUGCACCUUACUGCCAACCCAAAGAUAUUCCUAUUUGUUGUGUAUUCGGCCUAUUUUGAAAGCCAUGUUCUUCAUUCCCUUGCCAAAGUUGAAGCAAUCUGGGAAAACUACAUUGUUUGUUAUAAUUAUUGCAUGUAGUAUCAAUGAUGUUUGGAGGAUAACAGACUUGUACAAAACGAACUGGGGUCACCUCUUAAGAUAUCUUGCACAGGCAUAAGAGGCUCUUAUGCCUGUGCAAGAGAUCUUCACUUCAAUUAGCGACAAGCUUCCACCUACAAGUACCAUGACUGUGACAGAUUGACCGUCUCAAGGAGCCAAUCUACUGGCAUCCUCGUGGAUCUGGGCUAAUGAAAACUCACACCAGUUUACAAGCACCAAUCAAGAAGCCUGAUGCUAAAUCAUCAUACAUCAAGAAGCUUAGACUCGAUACUGAUGAGCUAUUGAUAAAGCAAGAAGAAUUUACCUCUCAAUAAGCAGAGUCCAGUGGUGCUGGUGAUCAACUCUAAAUAGAUGAACACUUAUACUGUAUCAUAAUUAUUACGUUCCAAAAUUCUUUACAUUUAUAUUGCAAAACAUAAA
Halichondria panicea is the source of this 2618-nucleotide long non-coding RNA. RefSeq lists it as uncharacterized. The transcript is spliced from 2 exons. NCBI's taxonomy places the organism in Eukaryota, Metazoa, Porifera, Demospongiae, Suberitida, Halichondriidae. The record is from RefSeq and is a predicted model, not a curated record.